GUCUUUUUGAUAUUAAUUUAAAGUCGGGCCUGCCCACUGAAUUAUGAAGGGCCGCGGUAUUUUGACCGUGCAAAGGUAGCAUAAUCAUUAGUUUUUUAAUUAAAAACUAGAAUGAAUGGUUUGAUAAAAAAAUAACUGUCUCAAUUUAAUUUUAUUAAAAUUUUAUUUUUAAGUUAAAAAGCUUAAAUUAUUUUAAAAGACGAGAAGACCCUAUAGAAUUUAAUAUUAAUUUUAUUAUAAUUUUAGGUUUUAAAUUUUAUAGUAUAUAUUAUUAUUUAAUUGGGGUGAUUAAAAAAUUAAAUUAACUUUUUUUAUAAAUUUACAUAAAUUAAUGAAAUAUUGAUCCAUAUUUAAUGAUUAUAAGAUUAAACUACCUUAGGGAUAACAGCGUAAUUUUUUUAGAGAGUUCUUAUCGAAAAAAAAGAUUGCGACCUCGAUGUUGGAUUAAAGUUAAUUUUUGGUGUAAAAGUUAAAAAUUUAAGUCUGUUCGACUUUUAAAUCUUUACA
RNAcentral lists this ribosomal RNA (507 nucleotides) under Sosylus sp. CO666. Its description in RNAcentral is "partial 16S ribosomal RNA". The stretch from base 381 to 507 matches the Rfam family "Bacterial large subunit ribosomal RNA", at positions 2473 to 2600 of the family's 2925-position model. Lineage: Eukaryota; Metazoa; Arthropoda; Insecta; Coleoptera; Bothrideridae. The record is from RNAcentral.